UCCGCAAUGGGCGAAAGCCUGACGGAGCAAUACCGCGUGAGGGAGGAAGGCUCUUGGGUUGUAAACCUCUUUUCUCAGGGAAGAACAGAAUGACGGUACCUGAGGAAUAAGCAUCGGCUAACUCCGUGCCAGCAGCCGCGGUAAUACGGAGGAUGCAAGCGUUAUCCGGAAUGAUUGGGCGUAAAGGGUCCGCAGGUGGCAUUGUAAGUCUGCUGUUAAAGAGUUUGGCUCAACCAAAUAAGAGCAGUGGAAACUACAAAGCUAGAGUGUGGUCGGGGCAGAGGGAAUUCCUGGUGUAGCGGUGAAAUGCGUAGAUAUCAGGAAGAACACCAGUGGCGAAGGCGCUCUGCUAGGCCGAGACU
RNAcentral lists this ribosomal RNA (362 nucleotides) under uncultured cyanobacterium. RNAcentral's name for it is "bacterial SSU rRNA". It matches the Rfam family "Bacterial small subunit ribosomal RNA", at positions 365 to 741 of the family's 1533-position model. Lineage: Bacteria; Bacillati; Cyanobacteriota. The record is from RNAcentral.